Non-coding RNA from Paramuricea clavata, 205 nucleotides. Lineage: Eukaryota; Metazoa; Cnidaria; Anthozoa; Malacalcyonacea; Plexauridae. The record is from the annotation of a GenBank genome assembly.
GGGUUUGUAUGUGUGUGUAUGUGUCUGUGUGUGUAUGUGUGUGUGUGUUUGUCUGUGAGCACGAUAACUCAAGAAAUACCAAACAUAUUCGUACGAAAUUUUGUGAGUGCAUUUCCCAUCGGCUAAGGAAGAACUGAUUAAAAUUUGGUUGAAUUUGGUUAAAAAUUGAAUGAGAAAUAACAAAAGUUUGUCUUGCUUUUCCCGG